This 75-nucleotide transfer RNA is filed under the name Lachnospiraceae bacterium. RNAcentral describes it as "tRNA-Gly". It matches the Rfam family "tRNA". Rfam says of the family: Transfer RNA (tRNA) molecules are approximately 80 nucleotides in length. Their secondary structure includes four short double-helical elements and three loops (D, anti-codon, and T loops). Lineage: Bacteria; Bacillati; Bacillota; Clostridia; Lachnospirales; Lachnospiraceae. The record is from RNAcentral. RNAcentral also lists the same sequence under 1 other name.
CCACCAUUGGUGUAAUGGCUAACACUCCUGCCUUCCAAGCAGAUGAUGAGGGUUCAAUUCCCUCAUGGUGGUCCA